RNAcentral lists this ribosomal RNA (494 nucleotides) under uncultured bacterium. RNAcentral describes it as "partial 16S ribosomal RNA". It matches the Rfam family "Bacterial small subunit ribosomal RNA", at positions 28 to 507 of the family's 1533-position model. The record is from RNAcentral.
GACGAACGCUGGCGGCGUGCUUAACACAUGCAAGUCGAACGGAAAGGCCUGCUUUCCCUUGUGGAUUGCGGGUACUCGAGUGGCGAACGGGUGAGUAACACGUGAGUGAUCUGCCCCCAACUUGGGUAUAAGCCUGGGAAACUGGGUCUAAUUCCCGAUAGGACUGCAGGGUGGUGCCUGUGGUGGAAAACGAUUUUCUAGUGGUUGGGGAUGAGCUCGCGGCCUAUCAGCUUGUUGGUGGGGUAAUGGCCUACCAAGGCGGCGACGGGUAGCCGGCCUGGGAGGGUGGACGGCCACAUUGGGACUGAGAUACGGCCCAGACUCCUACGGGAGGCAGCAGUGGGGAAUAUUGCACAAUGGGCGCAAGCCUGAUGCAGCGACGCCGCGUGGGGGAUGACGGCCUUUGGGUUGUAAACUCCUUUCGACCGCGAGGAAGCCACCUGGUUGGAAGGGUGGUGACGGUAGUGGUAGAAGAAGCACCGGCUAACUACGUG